CUACUAGGGUAUCUAAUCCUGUUUGAUCCCCGCGCUUUCGAGUCUCAGUGUCAAUGUUGGGCCAGAUCGCCGCCUUCGCCACCGGUGUUCCUCCAGAUAUCUACGUAUUUCACCACUACACCUGGAAUUCCACGAUCCUCUCCCACAUUCAAGCUUUGCAGUAUCAAAAGCACUUCCCGGGUUAGGCCCGGGGCUUUCACUCCUGACUUACAAAGCCACCUACACUCGCUUUACGCCCAAUAAUUCCGAGCAACGCUUGGACCCCUCGUCUUACCGCGGCUGCUGGCAC
This 289-nucleotide ribosomal RNA is filed under the name uncultured bacterium. Its description in RNAcentral is "partial 16S ribosomal RNA". The record is from RNAcentral.